UACGUAGGGUGCGAGCGUUAAUCGGAAUUACUGGGCGUAAAGCGUGCGCAGGCGGUUCGUUGUGUCGGCGGUGAAAGCCCCGGGCUUAACCUGGGAAUGGCCGUUGAAACUGGCGAACUGGAGUGUGGCAGAGGGGGGUGGAAUUCCGCGUGUAGCAGUGAAAUGCGUAGAGAUGCGGAGGAACACCGAUGGCGAAGGCAGCCCCCUGGGCCAAUACUGACGCUCAGGCACGAAAGCGUGGGGAGCAAACAGG
Molecule: ribosomal RNA, 253 nt
Filed under: uncultured bacterium
Lineage: Bacteria
Description: partial 16S ribosomal RNA
Rfam family: Bacterial small subunit ribosomal RNA
Source: RNAcentral